GCCGAAGUGGCGGAACUGGCAGACGCGCACGACUCAAAAUCGUGUUCCUUUAGGAGUGUGGGUUCGAUUCCCACCUUCGGCA
RNAcentral lists this transfer RNA (82 nucleotides) under Hazenella coriacea. It matches the Rfam family "tRNA". Rfam says of the family: Transfer RNA (tRNA) molecules are approximately 80 nucleotides in length. Their secondary structure includes four short double-helical elements and three loops (D, anti-codon, and T loops). Lineage: Bacteria; Bacillati; Bacillota; Bacilli; Caryophanales; Thermoactinomycetaceae. The record is from Rfam by way of RNAcentral.